Molecule: ribosomal RNA, 253 nt
Filed under: uncultured bacterium
Lineage: Bacteria
Description: partial 16S ribosomal RNA
Rfam family: Bacterial small subunit ribosomal RNA
Source: RNAcentral
UACAGAGGGUGCAAGCGUUGUCCGGAAUUACUGGGCGUAAAGGGCGCGUAGGCGGCUUAUCAAGUCAGGCGUGAAAUUCCCGGGCUCAACCUGGGGGCUGCGCUUGAUACUGAUGAGCUUGAAUGCGGGAGAGGAUAGUGGAAUUCCCAGUGUAGAGGUGAAAUUCGUAGAUAUUGGGAAGAACACCGGUGGCGAAGGCGGCUAUCUGGCCCGUAAUUGACGCUGAGGCGCGAAAGCGUGGGGAGCAAACAGG